This is a long non-coding RNA of Mus musculus (house mouse), 583 nucleotides long. RefSeq annotates it as predicted gene, 32688. NCBI's taxonomy places the organism in Eukaryota, Metazoa, Chordata, Mammalia, Rodentia, Muridae. The record is from RefSeq and is marked validated. The transcript has 2 exons.
GAUGGAAAAAGUUAAGGGGUUAGAAAUUUGGUGUCCUGUCGCAUUUAAAAGAUCCUCGACACUCAGCAGUUAUUUAGGAUGGUUCAGGAAGAUCUCAGGCCGACCAGGCUGGCAGGGAGAACUCCAGAUGACGGGCUUCUGAGCACAGAAAAAGUCGAAAUCACAAGCAGGCUGAUGGAAUCCUCCCUCUGCAGUAGCCUGCUUGGGCUGGCUCAGUUAUCCAUGGUGGCAGGAGCCAAGGGAGAAGAGAUCCAAAGUGAAGAAGCUACUACCGGUGAGACUUAGUAGAUAGAGGCAGGCCCUGCUCUUUGGGGCCCAGCACAGAGAUGAGGGCCUCAUGAGAUGCCAGCUCUUCUACAAAGUCGGUCUCACCGUCUUCAGGAAAAGCCAAUACAUCCCUACUUAGAGCUGUUCUGAGUGAUUCUUCUGGCUUCUCCCACACUAAUCAGCUUAUAUGUUAAUUCAGUGUUUCUGUGGUUGGGUCCCUUAUAAAGCUGUGUUUCCUGAGGGCAAGGACCAAGUAUGCUCAUCUUUCUGUGUCCAGAGUGUUAUAUAACAGUAAAAGUCCACAUUUAUUGUUUCU